GGGGAAUAUUGGACAAUGGGCGAAAGCCUGAUCCAGCAAUGCCGCGUGAGUGAUGAAGGCCUUAGGGUUGUAAAGCUCUUUUACCCGGGAUGAUAAUGACAGUACCGGGAGAAUAAGCCCCGGCUAACUCCGUGCCAGCAGCCGCGGUAAUACGGAGGGGGCUAGCGUUGUUCGGAAUUACUGGGUGUAAAGGGUGCGCAGGCGGACUUAUAAGUCAGUGGUGAAAUCUCGGCGCUUAACGCCGAAACUGCCUUUGAUACUAUAAGUCUUGAGUUUGGUAGAGAUCCGUGGAAUUCCGAGUGUAGCAGUGAAAUGUGUAGAUAUUCGGAAGAACACCAGCGGCGAAGGCAGCGGAUUGGGCCAAUACUGACGCUCAGGCACGAAAGCAUGGGGAUCAAA
Molecule: ribosomal RNA, 399 nt
Filed under: uncultured bacterium
Lineage: Bacteria
Description: bacterial SSU rRNA
Rfam family: Bacterial small subunit ribosomal RNA
Source: RNAcentral